Molecule: long non-coding RNA, 3694 nt
Organism: Vespa velutina
Lineage: Eukaryota; Metazoa; Arthropoda; Insecta; Hymenoptera; Vespidae
Exons: 5
Source: RefSeq, a predicted model, not a curated record
AGCAGAUCUAAUUUGUAACAUGGUUACGGUGAAUUUUAUUACGGGAAAGACAAAGAUUGUCUAGUGACCAUAGUUAUAAUCGUUAGUUACACUAUAGAAUACUCGUAGAGAAAAUGGAAACAAUGUUUAAACAGAGAAGAGGUUCGCUUCGUUGAGACAGUUCAGUUGGAAACACACGAGAUAGUGAAAAGGAUCGUCGAAGUGUAUUGUCGAGUCGAAUCUUGAAUGUUGUAUCUUGAACACAGCCGACUUUGAGUUGUCGAUAAAUUCGACUUUUGGAAAGAGAGAGAAAGAAAGAGAAAUAGAGAGAGAGAGAGAGAGAGAGAGAGAGAGAGAGAAAGAGAGGAGAGAGAAGAAAACCAAAGAAAGAAAGAGUGCUAUGCCAAAAUUAGAUCAAGCUAUUUCACCUUGAACGAUCUUUCUGUUUUUAGAACUAAAGUAAAACAUCUUCAUGUGUAUUACAUCGUAAAAUUAUACGAUCAGAUAAUCUAAGAGGAAAACGAUAAGUUAAAAUCUUAUCGUUAUCCGAUAUUUAUACUUUCAAUUCGAUAAAGUUUUGCGUCGUUCGAGAGCGGUCAUUCGAGAUCAAUGUUUCAAAGAAAUAAGUACGAUUCGAUCGAACCGAAUUAAACGCGACUAACGUCGAUUGUUAUAUCUCAUUUUGGGUGAAGUCGAUAACGUUUGAUAAGAGGACGUUAUCGGUAUUAAGGAAGAGAGGAAAAGGGAAAGAAGAGGAAGACAAGAAUUACAUCCAAGUUAUCGUUGUUGAAAAAGAUAUCGGUGACCUUGCGUUUGAUAAAAGAAAGGAAAUUUGUUUUUGUUGGAAAAACCAAUCAAUUGUGGGAUUAUUAAAAUGGCAGAAAAUUCAUUGUCCGAGUUGAACGAGAAAAUGCCUUUGGAAGAAGAAGCCAAGGAGGAACUUAAAGUUGAAGAUGGAGAAGCCAUAGAGGAGUGUAACGCAAAGGAAUCUUGCGAAGAGGAUAACAAGGAUGAAAUUAAAAAGCGUACAAAAAGAAACAUUAUUAAAGCACCAUUAUUUGAGGUUAAAGAUGAUAAAACUCAAUAUCGUCGCGAUGCGAAUGGAUGCUUGAGACCAGUCUAUUUUUAAUCGUGUAUUUUUAUAUUAAAUGCAGAAAAGAUAAGAGAUAAUAAAUUAAAUAAUAAAAUACUAAGAUUAAAUUAUAUUUAUCGAUAAAAAAUAUUUUAACAUCAUUUAAAUAUUAUUCUUACGAUUAAUUUUUCUAUAUUUCUAAAGAAAUGGAAAUCUAUGCAGUGAAAAGUAAUAUAAUUCUUGAAGAAUAUUUGCUACUAGAUGAGCAUAUUGGUCAGUUCGAAUAAUAAUAAUAAUAAUAGAAUAGUAUUAAAAUAAUGAACAAUAGACACAUAUACAAAUAAAAUUUUAUAUACUAUAUUUGCUUAGUGAUUAUUUUUAUUUUAAUAAAGGCAUCAAUAAUAAAAUAUUAAUAAUAUAAGAAUAUAACUGAAGUAACGUACAAUAUAAACAGAUAAUGAAAUAUCUCAAAUUAAACGCUAUAUAAUACUCAUAUAAAACGUACAGAUUAAUGUUUAAUAUUAUGACUAAUUAUAAUGAUGGUAAUAGUUCGUAAUAAUAACAUGAGAAAGAGAUGGAGUGGAAUUUAAGUACUUUAUAGAAUAUAAUCCCUGAUGUUCGUUAAUAUCGCAAUUCAAAUAUUUUUAAUGAGAUACAAACCUCAGUUAUUUCUAAAUUCCAAAAAUAUAUUUAUAAAACUGAUAACACAGUUGAUCCCUUUCAUAAUUUACGAUCGUUAUAAGCGUACUAGUAUCCAAAAAAAUAUAAAUUUAUAUGAAGAUAUACAUAGAUUCUGUUACUACUACUGAUUAAUUGAGAUAUAAUUAUGAUGAGAGCACGAUCGUAAAAUCAUACAAUUGAUGUUAUAUGAGCACGACGAUAUGGCUUCCAUUUUCAACGAUAUCAUUUAAACGAUAAGUCAAGUUUGUUAGUUAUAAUAAUAACAUCAUCGAAAGAAAAAUAAUGUAGAAAUUAUAAGAGAAUCAACUAUUAGAUUUAGAUACGAUAAUCGUUGUCAUAAUUAAAAAGAAAUUUUACCAAAGAUUUAUAUACAUAUUAAAUAAAUAAAUUUAAUAUCUUGUCACAAGUUUAUAAAUAAUUUGAAAGUUCGAAGAUUAGAUUUUUAAUCGAGCAAAAUUCCAUUUCUCGGAUAAAAAUCAUUGUAUUUAUCGAAAAUAUAAUAAUAUUAUACAUCGCAAAAAAUAAUUAAAACAAAUCGACAUAAUCUAAUUUGAUCUUUAUAGAUACGAAUCGAUAACGAGAUAAACAAAAGACUCGAAAACAUUUUAUAAUGUAACAUUUGUUCGACAUAUUCCUUGUGUCUCGACAGACAUGCUUUGUUAAGUCUUUUCAAAAACACAUCUUGAGAACGUAUGCAAAUGCAUAUAAACGAUAUUAUGAAUGCUGAAGAUAGCAUCAAAAAUGUUUAGAAAUAAAAUUGCGAAUUGUUUUAUCUUUCUAAUAUCCAAUUGAAUUGUUUGAAUUGAGUAUUAUUUUUUUUUUCUUUUUUUUUUUUAAAUCGAAUUGUACACUUACGAACAUAAAUCUCUGUUACUUUCUCUUUUUCUUUUCUUACUUAUUACUCUUGCAUUUUUUUUUUCUUUUUCUUUUUUCUUUUAUUUUUCAUAAAAUUCAAGCGACCUUAUUCUCACCGAUAACACGGGGUAUACAUACGUAUGUCAGAUAUACAUACUAUAUCCCUGUAUAUAUUGUAAUAGUAUGUAUAUAUGAAAUACGUAUGAGUGUAUAAUUCAAGGGCGAAUUUUGCUAUGUCUUUCCGAGAAAACUUUUCACUCGCAAAGCAAUGAUAAAGAUGACGUCACAUGAGCAUACAGUCGGCAGUAGAUUAUAAAUAUGAACGUUGAACGCUUCUAGAAACAGAUAUGUUGGUAGAUACUCCGGCGGGAACAUCUUUGCUUUUUUAUUAGGAAUUCUUGCGUAAUCAAAAAUAUCGAUAAUAAGAAGUUCAAGAAAACAAAAAAAAUAUAUAUAUAUAUAUAUAUAUAGAGAGAGAGAGAGAGAGAGAGAGAGAGAGUGAGAGAGAGAGAGAGAGAGAGAGGGAGAUAGAAAGAGAGAGAAAUAAAGUGAAGACAAAGAAAAGACGUAUACGAGCAUUCGUAUAAAAGCUAUUCGAUAAUUCAAAGUUGGUGCUAUUCGGAGAAAGAAGAACCGAAUCAUCGUAAUCACUCAAGAAAGAGUAGAAAUCUAUUUUCGUUUUUCUUUCGAAAGAUUAAACUUUCACUUUUUUCCUUUCUUUCCUUCAAAAAAAAAACCUUCCUAUCCUUUUUCCCCAAUUUUAUUUUCCCACGCAUACCUGUUUCCUUUACAAAUAUGAAAUACUUUCCACUGAUUGCAACCACCAUGAUUUUUCUUCUUUUUUUCACGAAUCUCGUUGAUCCCGUGCUCUCUCAGACUGAUGAAUCUUCCAAUAUAAAAUCUUCAAAUAAUAAGACGAAACCGAAAGAAAAUACUUUCAACAUCAUAACGGCGCCUGGAAAGCGAUGUCCAAAUGGUCAACGACAGGACUCAAAUGGUAUUUGCAGAACCUUCGUUCCGAUCUAACUAUUGUUGUUUGUUUCUAUUUUAUUUUUGUUUUCUCAUGAUAUUUCAAUCAAGGAAUAAUAAGUAAUCCCCAUCGAAUAA